UACGGAGGAUCCAAGCGUUAUCCGGAUUUAUUGGGUUUAAAGGGUGCGUAGGCGGCCUAUUAAGUCAGGGGUGAAAGACGGUAGCUCAACUAUCGCAGUGCCCUUGAUACUGAUGGGCUUGAAUGGACUAGAGGUAGGCGGAAUGUGACAAGUAGCGGUGAAAUGCAUAGAUAUGUCACAGAACACCGAUUGCGAAGGCAGCUUACUAUGGUCUUAUUGACGCUGAGGCACGAAAGCGUGGGGAUCAAACAGG
RNAcentral lists this ribosomal RNA (253 nucleotides) under uncultured bacterium. RNAcentral's name for it is "partial 16S ribosomal RNA". It matches the Rfam family "Bacterial small subunit ribosomal RNA", at positions 524 to 776 of the family's 1533-position model. The record is from RNAcentral.